GGAGAGGUGCAUGAGUGGCUGAAAUGGCACGCCUGGAAAGCGUGUAGAUCUUUACGGGUCUCGAGGGUUCGAAUCCCUCUCUCUCCG
RNAcentral lists this transfer RNA (87 nucleotides) under bacterium SCSIO 12741. Its description in RNAcentral is "tRNA-Ser". It matches the Rfam family "tRNA". Rfam says of the family: Transfer RNA (tRNA) molecules are approximately 80 nucleotides in length. Their secondary structure includes four short double-helical elements and three loops (D, anti-codon, and T loops). Further hydrogen bonds mediate the characteristic L-shaped molecular structure. tRNAs have two regions of fundamental functional importance: the anti-codon, which is responsible for specific mRNA codon recognition, and the 3' end, to which the tRNAs corresponding amino acid is attached (by aminoacyl-tRNA synthetases). tRNAs cope with the degeneracy of the genetic code in two manners: having more than one tRNA (with a specific anti-codon) for a particular amino acid; and 'wobble' base-pairing, i.e. permitting non-standard base-pairing at the 3rd anti-codon position. The record is from RNAcentral.